RNAcentral lists this ribosomal RNA (500 nucleotides) under uncultured bacterium. RNAcentral's name for it is "partial 16S ribosomal RNA". It matches the Rfam family "Bacterial small subunit ribosomal RNA", at positions 1 to 473 of the family's 1533-position model. The record is from RNAcentral.
CGGCCGCACUAGUGAUUAGAGUUUGAUCCUGGCUCAGGAUGAACGCUGGCGGCGUGCCUAAUACAUGCAAGUCGAGCGAACAGAUAAGGAGCUUGCUCCUUUGACGUUAGCGGCGGACGGGUGAGUAACACGUGGGUAACCUACCUAUAAGACUGGAAUAACUCCGGGAAACCGGGGCUAAUGCCGGAUAACAUUUAGAACCGCAUGGUUCUAAAGUGAAAGAUGGUUUUGCUAUCACUUAUAGAUGGACCCGCGCCGUAUUAGCUAGUUGGUAAGGUAACGGCUUACCAAGGCAACGAUACGUAGCCGACCUGAGAGGGUGAUCGGCCACACUGGAACUGAGACACGGUCCAGACUCCUACGGGAGGCAGCAGUAGGGAAUCUUCCGCAAUGGGCGAAAGCCUGACGGAGCAACGCCGCGUGAGUGAUGAAGGUCUUCGGAUCGUAAAACUCUGUUAUUAGGGAAGAACAAAUGUGUAAGUAACUGUGCACGUCUUGAC